GAUGAACGCUGGCGGCGUGCUUAACACAUGCAAGUCGAACGAAGCACUUUAUUUGAUUUCCUUCGGGACUGAUUAUUUUGUGACUGAGUGGCGGACGGGUGAGUAACGCGUGGGUAGCCUGCCUUGUACAGGGGGAUAACAGUUGGAAACGGCUGCUAAUACCGCAUAAGCGCACAGCAUCGCAUGAUGCAGUGUGAAAAACUCCGGUGGUAUAAGAUGGACCCGCGUUGGAUUAGCUAGUUGGUGAGGUAACGGCCCACCAAGGCGACGAUCCAUAGCCGACCUGAGAGGGUGACCGGCCACAUUGGGACUGAGACACGGCCCAAACUCCUACGGGAGGCAGCAGUGGGGAAUAUUGCACAAUGGGCGAAAGCCUGAUGCAGCGACGCCGCGUGAGCGAAGAAGUAUUUCGGUAUGUAAAGCUCUAUCAGCAGGGAAGAUAAUGACGGUACCUGACUAAGAAGCACCGGCUAAAUACGUG
This 481-nucleotide ribosomal RNA is filed under the name uncultured bacterium. RNAcentral's name for it is "partial 16S ribosomal RNA". It matches the Rfam family "Bacterial small subunit ribosomal RNA", at positions 28 to 507 of the family's 1533-position model. The record is from RNAcentral.